This 174-nucleotide ribosomal RNA is filed under the name uncultured bacterium. RNAcentral's name for it is "partial 16S ribosomal RNA". It matches the Rfam family "Bacterial small subunit ribosomal RNA", at positions 338 to 524 of the family's 1533-position model. The record is from RNAcentral.
CCUAGGGGAGGCAGCAGUAGGGAAUAUUGGGCAAUGGGCGCAAGCCUGACCCAGCGACGCCGCGUGAGGGAUGAAGGCCUUCGGAUUGUAAACCUCUUUCAGUAGGGAAGAAGCGAAAGUGACGGUACCUAAAGAAGAAGCACCGGCUAACUAUGUGCCAGCAGCCGCGGUAAU